RNAcentral lists this ribosomal RNA (520 nucleotides) under Anaplasma platys. Its description in RNAcentral is "bacterial SSU rRNA". It matches the Rfam family "Bacterial small subunit ribosomal RNA", at positions 103 to 660 of the family's 1533-position model. Lineage: Bacteria; Pseudomonadati; Pseudomonadota; Alphaproteobacteria; Rickettsiales; Anaplasmataceae. The record is from RNAcentral.
CGGGUGAGUAUGCAUAGGAUCUACCUAGUAGUAUGGGAUAGCCACUAGAAAUGGUGGGUAAUACUGUAUAAUCCCUGCGGGGGAAAGAUUUAUCGCUAUUAGAUGAGCCUAUGUUAGAUUAGCUAGUUGGUAGGGUAAAGGCCUACCAAGGCAGUGAUCUAUAGCUGGUCUGAGAGGAUGAUCAGCCACACUGGAACUGAGAUACGGUCCAGACUCCUACGGGAGGCAGCAGUGGGGAAUAUUGGACAAUGGGCGCAAGCCUGAUCCAGCUAUGCCGCAUGAGUGAGGAAGGCCUUAGGGUUGUAAAACUCUUUCAGUGGGGAAGAUAAUGACGGUACCCACAGAAGAAGUCCCGGCAAACUCCGUGCCAGCAGCCGCGGUAAUACGGAGGGGGCAAGCGUUGUUCGGAAUUAUUGGGCGUAAAGGGCAUGUAGGCGGUUCGGUAAGUUAAAGGUGAAAUGCCAGGGCUUAACCCUGGAGCUGCUUUUAAUACUGCCAGACUAGAGUCCGGGAGAGGAUA